RNAcentral lists this long non-coding RNA (510 nucleotides) under Volvox carteri. RNAcentral describes it as "long non-coding RNA (VCAR_LNC002751)". The record is from RNAcentral. Lineage: Eukaryota; Viridiplantae; Chlorophyta; Chlorophyceae; Chlamydomonadales; Volvocaceae.
AAAAGGCCAGUAUCUCAAAAGGCCAGUAUCUCUAAAGGCCAGCUACUACAGAUGUUGGAAAGUAUAGGUGGAACAUAUAUUGUGUCAAAACGCAUAUAGCGGGUGUAGUGGUAUCACAUGAAAACAAACUCCGCCUGGGGUGAGGGCCAAAAAGGCGAAAAUGAAAUGAAAGGCAGCUAAGGUGACUAUUUGUGACCAGGUGUGCAUUUGUGUGUUGUAUGAUCUCAGCAAGCACCGCUGCUGCCCCUUACCUGGCUAAAGAGAGCCCGAUUGUGACCAGCUAAUACUGCUAGUACUGCUAAUACCGCUAAUACUGCUAAUACUGCUAAUACUGCUAAUACUGCUGGUACUGCUAGUACUGCUAGUACUGCUAAUACUGCUGGUACUGCGAAUACUGCUAAUACUGCUAAUACUGCUGCGUGCAGGGACUGAUUUCAUUGCCACCGCCACUUUCUGGAGGCCCCGCUGUGGCAUCGAAGGAUCCUCCCAGCAGCAGCAGUGGCAAUAGGG